CAAAAAAAUAAAAUUAAAAAUAAAUAAAUAAAUAAAUAAACAGGCUUAGGCCGGGCGCGGUGGCUCGUGCCAGUAAUCCCAACACUAUGGGAGGCUGAGGCUGGUCGAUCACAAGGUCAGGAGAUCGAGACCAUCCUGACCAACAUGGUGAAACCCCAUCUCUACUAAAAUACAAAAAAUUAGCUGGGCAUGGUGGCUUGUGCCUGUAGUCCCAGCUGCUCUGGAGGCUGAGGCAGGGGAAUCGGUUGAACCUGGGAGAUGGAGGUUGCAGUGAGCCAAGAUCACGCCACUGCACUCUAACCUGGUAACAGAGCAAGACUCCGUCUCAAAAAAAAAAAAAAAAAAACGGGCAGGGGGAGCUUAAAAGACAUAUCAUUUUCUUUUUGAAUGGGCAAGACUAAACUCCAGUGUCUACAGAUUCACAUUUGGAUAAUAAAACUAUACAUGUGCAGUGGCGCUCACCUGUCUCCCAGCUACUCAGGAGGCUAAGGAUCAUUUGAGCCCAGGAGUUCCAGGCUGCAGUGAGCAUUGAUUGCACCACUGCACUCCAGCCUGAACAAUACAGUGAGACUCUGUCUCGAAAUAAAUAAAUAAGCAAACAAACAGAAACCUACACAGGGCCGGGCGUGAGCCACUGCGCCCGGCCUUGGGAUAUCUUUUUCUUUUGGGCAACCUCCUCCUCUGGCUUAGGAAAAAUCUGUUCCUUUUCAGUAAGAAUCAUCUCAGUGUGGCAGGGAGAACUCAUUCAUGGGUUAAUCCGACCGGAGUUCCGUAGGUCUGGCGACGCAUCUUAGGUACUUUGUUCACUUGGAUAUGCUCAAUGACCAGAGAAUCUACAUAUAACCCUUAAGUUCAGCAUUACU
RNAcentral lists this long non-coding RNA (863 nucleotides) under Homo sapiens (human). RNAcentral's name for it is "HSALNT0255364". The record is from RNAcentral. Lineage: Eukaryota; Metazoa; Chordata; Mammalia; Primates; Hominidae.